Molecule: ribosomal RNA, 468 nt
Filed under: uncultured bacterium
Lineage: Bacteria
Description: partial 16S ribosomal RNA
Rfam family: Bacterial small subunit ribosomal RNA
Source: RNAcentral
GACGAACGCUGGCGGCGUGCUUAACACAUGCAAGUCGAACGGAAAGGCCCUGCUUUUGUGGGGUGCUCGAGUGGCGAACGGGUGAGUAACACGUGAGUAACCUGCCCUUGACUUUGGGAUAACUUCAGGAAACUGGGGCUAAUACCGGAUAGGAGCUCCUGCUGCAUGGUGGGGGUUGGAAAGAUUCGGCGGUUGGGGAUGGACUCGCGGCUUAUCAGCUUGUUGGUGGGGUAGUGGCUUACCAAGGCUUUGACGGGUAGCCGGCCUGAGAGGGUGACCGGCCACAUUGGGACUGAGGGACGGCCCAGACUCCUACGGGAGGCAGCAGUGGGGAAUAUUGCACAAUGGGCGGAAGCCUGAUGCAGCAGCGCCGCGUGCGGGAUGACGGCCUUCGGGUUGUAAACCGCUUUCGCCUGUGACGAAGCGUGAGUGACGGUAAUGGGUAAAGAAGCACCGGCUAACUACGUG